GACAGAGGGUGCAAACGUUGUUCGGAAUUACUGGGCGUAAAGCGCGUGUAGGCGGCUUUGCAAGUCGGGUGUGAAAUCCCCAGGCUCAACCUGGGAACUGCAUUCGAGACUGCAUUGCUAGAGUAUGGGAGAGGGAAGUGGAAUUUCAGGUGUAGCGGUGAAAUGCGUAGAUAUCUGAAGGAACAUCAGUGGCGAAAGCGACUUCCUGGACCAAUACUGACGCUCAUGUGCGAAAGCGUGGGGAGCAAACAGG
This 253-nucleotide ribosomal RNA is filed under the name uncultured bacterium. Its description in RNAcentral is "partial 16S ribosomal RNA". It matches the Rfam family "Bacterial small subunit ribosomal RNA", at positions 524 to 776 of the family's 1533-position model. The record is from RNAcentral.